AUGUGAACUAUUGUGUGGCAACACACAAUGCAUUUAUUAGACAACAACCAAUACGUAUGUGCUGGGUAGCAAUACUUGGUGCUGGACGUCAAGGUGAAUCUAGAUAACUUUGCUGAUCGUAUGGCCUUGUGCCGACGACGUUUCAAUUGAAUUUCUGCCCUAUCAACUAGUUGGUAAGGUCGUGGCUUACCAAGGUUGCAACGGGUAACGGGGAAUCAGGGUUCGAUUCCGGAGAGGGAGCCUGAGAAACGGCUACCACAUCCAAGGGAGGCAGCAGGCGCGCAAAUUACCCAAUCCAGACACUGGGAGGUGGUGACGAGAAAUACUGGACUGUUAGUGACAAACUUGCAGUACCGGAAUGAACAUAAUUUAAGACUGUUGUCGAGAAACAACUAGAGGGCAAGCCUGGUGCCAGCAGCCGCGGUAAUUCCAGCUCUAGUAGUGUCGUGUGACGUUGCUGCGGUUAAAACGCACGUAGUUGGAUAACGCAGUGUGAGAACGGUACUCAAUGUGUGGUAACAUUGAAGCUUCUUUGUGGCUUAGUAUGCAGGAUAACGAGUGUAUGUUGAAAGACUGCAUUACGACCUGUGUGUCUAACUACUUUGAGGUGUUGCAGCACAUUGAAUCCAGCCGUCUCAUACUACAUGUAUCGUGAAUGUAAUAUAUAGCCUUGAUUGGUCGUGUAUUGUGUUUGCGGAGUGUGCCUUGAAUAAAUCAAAGUGCUUAAAGCAGGCGUGUUAGCUUGAAUGUUAAUAGCAUGGAACGAACAAUUGUGAAUGCACAAGUGCAGUGUAAUGUGUGAACUCCGUUUAUGCAUAUGAUUGAACUUGUGUUGCACCAACCAUUGGUACGGAUGUUGGUUUCCGUAUCGAGGUGAGUAUUAAAACGAGCGGUUGGGGGCCUUAAUAUUUGGCAGC
This 917-nucleotide ribosomal RNA is filed under the name Echinactinomyxon sp. 'type 1'. Its description in RNAcentral is "bacterial SSU rRNA". It matches the Rfam family "Eukaryotic small subunit ribosomal RNA", at positions 171 to 905 of the family's 1831-position model. The record is from RNAcentral. Lineage: Eukaryota; Metazoa; Cnidaria; Myxozoa.